This 244-nucleotide ribosomal RNA is filed under the name uncultured bacterium. RNAcentral describes it as "partial 16S ribosomal RNA". It matches the Rfam family "Bacterial small subunit ribosomal RNA", at positions 524 to 765 of the family's 1533-position model. The record is from RNAcentral.
UACGUAGGGGGCGAGCGUUUGUCCGGAGUACUGGGCGUAAAGCGCACGCAGGCGGUCUGCUAAGUUUGGAGUGACAGUUGGUGGCUUAACUGCCAAAGUGCUUCGAAAACUGACAGACUUGAGGGCUUCAGAGGGACACGGAAUUCCGGGUGGAGUGGUGAAAUGGCGUAGAGAUCCGGAGGAACACCAAAGGCGAAGGCAGUGUCCUGGGGAGUACCUGACGCUCAGGUGCGGAAAGCCAGGG